GGCCGGUUAGCUAAGUCAGUUGAGCAUGGUGCUAACAACGCCAAGGUCACAGGUACAAUCCCUGUUCAGUCCC
This 73-nucleotide transfer RNA is filed under the name Apaloderma vittatum (bar-tailed trogon). It matches the Rfam family "tRNA". Rfam says of the family: Transfer RNA (tRNA) molecules are approximately 80 nucleotides in length. Their secondary structure includes four short double-helical elements and three loops (D, anti-codon, and T loops). Further hydrogen bonds mediate the characteristic L-shaped molecular structure. tRNAs have two regions of fundamental functional importance: the anti-codon, which is responsible for specific mRNA codon recognition, and the 3' end, to which the tRNAs corresponding amino acid is attached (by aminoacyl-tRNA synthetases). tRNAs cope with the degeneracy of the genetic code in two manners: having more than one tRNA (with a specific anti-codon) for a particular amino acid; and 'wobble' base-pairing, i.e. permitting non-standard base-pairing at the 3rd anti-codon position. The record is from Rfam by way of RNAcentral. Lineage: Eukaryota; Metazoa; Chordata; Aves; Trogoniformes; Trogonidae.